CAAGGCCUACGGGGGGCAGCAGUAAGGAAUCUUCGGCAAUGGACGAAAGUCUGACCGAGCAACGCCGCGUGAGUGAAGAAGGUUUUCGGAUCGUAAAACUCUGUUGGUAGAGAAGAACGUUGGUGAGAGUGGAAAGCUCAUCAAGUGACGCUAACUACCCAGAAAGGGACGGCUAACUACGUGCCAGCAGCCGCGGAAAUACGUAGGUCCCGAGCGUUGUCCGGAUUUAUUGGGCGUAAAG
This 241-nucleotide ribosomal RNA is filed under the name uncultured bacterium. RNAcentral describes it as "partial 16S ribosomal RNA". It matches the Rfam family "Bacterial small subunit ribosomal RNA", at positions 333 to 565 of the family's 1533-position model. The record is from RNAcentral.